Acanthosepion pharaonis is the source of this 100-nucleotide non-coding RNA. Lineage: Eukaryota; Metazoa; Mollusca; Cephalopoda; Sepiida; Sepiidae. The record is from the annotation of a GenBank genome assembly.
CGUUGAAGCAUUGGUUCCUGUACGAUCACUGGAGUUAAGCAACGUCAAGCCUGAUCAGUACUUAGAUGGGUGACCCCUUGGGAAUACCAGGUGCUGUAAG